GUUCAGUGAUGUAUUAACAAAUGUCUGACCUGAACUCUAAUGUGGACCAUAUCUGUUACUGAGGAA
This is a small nucleolar RNA of Cottoperca gobio, 66 nucleotides long. The record is from Ensembl. Lineage: Eukaryota; Metazoa; Chordata; Actinopteri; Perciformes; Bovichtidae.